RNAcentral lists this long non-coding RNA (237 nucleotides) under Panax ginseng (ginseng). RNAcentral describes it as "long non-coding RNA (PGIN_LNC006751)". The record is from RNAcentral. Lineage: Eukaryota; Viridiplantae; Streptophyta; Magnoliopsida; Apiales; Araliaceae.
UCCUUCGUAUUCAUUCCUUAUUAAAUUGUGGAAAUGAUCUGUCUACGUGGAUUACCGCAUGACGGGUGAAAAUCCAUUUGCAGUUUCAUAUAUUCUAUGAUACUCAUUUGGUUAAAGUUUUGGCUUCUAUACUCCAUGAAAUUAGUAGAAUAUCCUGGAUAUUUGCGCUUCAUCCGGUAUCUUUUCAUGGAAAUAUUCUUCUGAGCAUUCUUGAAUUUUACUCCACAAAGCAGUAUC